This 497-nucleotide ribosomal RNA is filed under the name uncultured bacterium. RNAcentral's name for it is "partial 16S ribosomal RNA". It matches the Rfam family "Bacterial small subunit ribosomal RNA", at positions 28 to 507 of the family's 1533-position model. The record is from RNAcentral.
GACGAACGCUGGCGGCGUGCCUAAUACAUGCAAGUAGAACGCUGAAGAGAGGAGCUUACUCUUCUUGGAUGAGUUGCGAACGGGUGAGUAACGCGUAGGUAACCUGCCUUGUAGCGGGGGAUAACUAUUGGAAACGAUAGCUAAUACCGCAUAACAAUGGAUGACACAUGUCAUUUAUUUGAAAGGGGCAAUUGCUCCACUACAAGAUGGACCUGCGUUGUAUUAGCUAGUAGGUGAGGUAAUGGCUCACCUAGGCGACGAUACAUAGCCGACCUGAGAGGGUGAUCGGCUACGCUGAGGCUGAGACACGCCCCAGACUCCUACGGGAGGCAGCAGUAGGGAAUCUUCGGCAAUGGCGGAAACCCUGACCGAGCAACGCCGCGUGAGUGAAGAUGGUCUCCGGAUCGUAAAGCUCUGUUGUAAGUCAAGAACGGGUGUGAGCGUGGAAAGGUCACACUGUGACGGUAGCUUACCAGAAAGGGACGGCUAACUACGUG